This 335-nucleotide ribosomal RNA is filed under the name Blastocystis sp. subtype 1. Its description in RNAcentral is "SSU rRNA". It matches the Rfam family "Eukaryotic small subunit ribosomal RNA", at positions 21 to 369 of the family's 1831-position model. The record is from RNAcentral. Lineage: Eukaryota; Bigyra; Opalinata; Blastocystidae.
UUUGUAGUCAUACGCUCGUCUCAAAGAUUAAGCCAUGCAUGUGUAAGUGUAAAUAUACUAGUUUGGAACUGCGAAUGGCUCAUUAUAUCAGUUAUAGUUUAUUUGGUGAAGUGUACUACUUGGAUAACCGUAGUAAUUCUAGGGCUAAUACAUGAGAAAGUCCUCUGGUGAGGUGUGUUUAUUAGAAUGAAAACCAUAUGCUUCGGCAUGAUAGUGAGUAAUAGUAACCUAUCGUAUCGCAUGCUUAAUGUAGCGAUGAGUCUUUCAAGUUUCUGCCCUAUCAGCUUUCGAUGGUAGUAUAUGGGCCUACCAUGGCAGUAACGGGUAACGAAGAA